AUUGAACGCUGGCGGCAUGCCUUACACAUGCAAGUCGAACGGCAGCACGGGAGCAAUCCUGGUGGCGAGUGGCGAACGGGUGAGUAAAGUAUCGGAACGUGCCCAGUCGUGGGGGAUAACGUAGCGAAAGUUACGCUAAUACCGCAUACGAUCUAUGGAUGAAGGCGGGGGAUCGCAAGACCUCGCGCGAUUGGAGCGGCCGAUAUCAGAUUAGGUAGUUGGUGGGGUAAAGGCUCACCAAGCCGACGAUCUGUAGCUGGUCUGAGAGGACGACCGACCACACUGAGACUGAGACACGGCCCAGACUCCUACGGGAGGCAGCAGUGGGGAAUUUUGGACAAUGGGCGAAAGCCUGAUCCAGCCAUGCCGCGUGCAGGAUGAAGGCCUUCGGGUUGUAAACUGCUUUUGUACGGAACGAAAAGGUUUGGCCUAAUAAGCUGAGCUCAUGACGGUACCGUAAGAAUAAGCACCGGCUAACUACGUGCCAGCCGCCGCGGUAA
Molecule: ribosomal RNA, 500 nt
Filed under: uncultured bacterium
Lineage: Bacteria
Description: partial 16S ribosomal RNA
Rfam family: Bacterial small subunit ribosomal RNA
Source: RNAcentral